GUUGCGCCUGAACCCCCCUCCCCCGGUUGGGGAAAGUGAGAGGCUUCAAGUCACAGGAACAGUUAAAGCUUCAGCUUCAUUUUCCCAACUUGCCUUCCUGCACCUCCUGCAGAACUACAUUUCCCAGCUGCCCCCCUUGCCCAUACCUGUGUCACUCUGCCAGUACUGGCUAACUGAAAUGACAUGGCUGCAGCACGACCCAUCUUGGUGAAUUAGCAGGCCCAACUUUAUUGUUGGCGGCAACCACUGGCAGUCCAGCUGGCGCUGAUUUUCUGCUUUAAGGCUAGUGAGUACAAACAGCUAAGUUUAACAGUAGGAUGUAGAAGUGAUUUAUCAUCAACCACACACAUUUACGUCUGGUGUACAUGUACGCCAAGAAAUGAUAUGCUUAACCACCAUGCCACAAGUCUGGACAGUUUGCUUUUGAGUCAACACCCAAAAAAAUGAGCACUGCAUGACGGUCUGACUUCAUUUGCCAAGAUGUGUUUCCUUUCUGGCCAAAGAUAUCGUAUUUGCAGUUCAUUAAACUCACAGAGCCCCA
Long non-coding RNA from Xenopus tropicalis (tropical clawed frog), 541 nucleotides. RefSeq lists it as uncharacterized. The record is from RefSeq and is a predicted model, not a curated record. NCBI's taxonomy places the organism in Eukaryota, Metazoa, Chordata, Amphibia, Anura, Pipidae. The transcript is spliced from 3 exons.